AAUAAGUGCAGUUUUACACUAUUCACGUUCAACGUUUGACCGUCCGUCUUAUUUGAAAAAUUUGUGAAAAAAUUAAAAACAUUUAGUCACACAUAAAGUACUAUUCAUAUUUUAUCAUCUAAUAGCAAUAAAAAUACUAAUCAUAAAAAAAUUUCAAAUAAGACGGACGGUCAAACGUUGAACAUGAAUAGUGCAAAACUGCACUUAUU
Molecule: microRNA precursor, 209 nt
Filed under: Oryza sativa Japonica Group (Japanese rice)
Lineage: Eukaryota; Viridiplantae; Streptophyta; Magnoliopsida; Poales; Poaceae
Description: MIR812 microRNA precursor family
Rfam family: MIR812 microRNA precursor family
Source: Rfam by way of RNAcentral